CCUACGGGUGGCUGCAGUGGGGAAUAUUGGGCAAUGGGCGCAAGCCUGACCCAGCAACGCCGCGUGAAGGAAGAAGGCUUUCGGGUUGUAAACUUCUUUUCUCAGGGACGAAGAAAGUGCCGGUACCUGAGGAAUAAGCCACGGCUAACUACGUGCCAGCAGGCGCGGUAAUACGUCGGUGGCAAGCGUUAUCAGGAUUUAUUGGGUGUAAAGGGCGUUUAGGCGGGAGCGCCAGUCAGAUGUGAAAACUCAGGGCUCAACCCUGAGCCUGCCUUUGAAACUGUGUUUCUUGAGUGCUGGAGAGGCAAGCGGAAUGCGGGGUGUAGCGGUGAAAUGCGUAGAUAUCAGGAGGAACACCAGUGGCGAAGGCGGAUUGCUGGACAGUAACUGACGCUGAGGCGCGAAAGCGUGGGGAGCAAACAGGAUUAGAUACCCCUGUAGUC
RNAcentral lists this ribosomal RNA (443 nucleotides) under uncultured bacterium. RNAcentral's name for it is "partial 16S ribosomal RNA". It matches the Rfam family "Bacterial small subunit ribosomal RNA", at positions 338 to 795 of the family's 1533-position model. The record is from RNAcentral.